GCCUCGUGUGCGCUCCCGGGGCGAUGCUGCUCUCCCAGCCCCACCACCAAGGACCCCGGGCGGGCAGGCGGCGCCACGCCUGGGCCUCAGUUACCUGUCCAGGUAGCGUGGGCAGGAAUACCUGCUGUAAGCAGUUCUCAGGACCAGCU
Catagonus wagneri (Chacoan peccary) is the source of this 149-nucleotide small nucleolar RNA. Ensembl annotates it as small nucleolar RNA, H/ACA box 59A. Its record names the gene SNORA59A. NCBI's taxonomy places the organism in Eukaryota, Metazoa, Chordata, Mammalia, Artiodactyla, Tayassuidae. The record is from Ensembl.